This 281-nucleotide long non-coding RNA is filed under the name Zostera marina. RNAcentral's name for it is "long non-coding RNA (ZMAR_LNC001129)". Lineage: Eukaryota; Viridiplantae; Streptophyta; Magnoliopsida; Alismatales; Zosteraceae. The record is from RNAcentral.
ACAGAAGUGUCAGGAAGAGCUUGUGAUACUCCCCCCCGAAUUUGACGACUUCUGGCCGAAGCGACAGAAGUGUCAGGAAGAACUUGGGAUUCUCCCCCUUGAGAUCAUUAAGGCCGAAGCGUCAAAAUGAUCUCUGGUCUACUAAGGCCAAAGCGACAAAGUAGACCGACUCACUAUCAGAGUCUGAUUCUGACCAGAGCUACAGAUCCACUAUCAGGAUCCGAUCCUCGCCUUGGAUGCAGAACCUGUUGAUUCACUAAUAGAAUCUGACUCCUGUCGGG